Molecule: ribosomal RNA, 189 nt
Filed under: uncultured bacterium
Lineage: Bacteria
Description: partial 16S ribosomal RNA
Rfam family: Bacterial small subunit ribosomal RNA
Source: RNAcentral
CCUACGGGAGGCAGCAGUAAGGAAUAUUGGUCAAUGGACGCAAGUCUGAACCAGCCAUGCCGCGUGAAGGAUGAAGGUCCUCUGGAUUGUAAACUUCUUUUAUGAGGGAAGAAACCCGGGAAUUCUUUUCCGGUUGACGGUACCUUAGGAAUAAGCACCGGCUAACUCCGUGCCAGCAGCCGCGGUAAU